This 204-nucleotide microRNA precursor is filed under the name Oryza nivara. Its description in RNAcentral is "MIR812 microRNA precursor family". It matches the Rfam family "MIR812 microRNA precursor family". The record is from Rfam by way of RNAcentral. Lineage: Eukaryota; Viridiplantae; Streptophyta; Magnoliopsida; Poales; Poaceae.
AAUGUUUGACGCCAUUGACUUUUUAUCACAUGUUUGACCGUUCGUCUUAUUCAAAAAAUUUAAGUAAUUAUUAAUUCUUUUCCUAUCAUUUGAUUCAUUGUUAAAUAUAUUUUAUGUAGGCAUAUAAUUUUACAUAUCUCAUAAAAAUUUUUGAAUAAGACGAACGGUCAAACAUGUGCUAAAAAGUCAACGGUGUCAAACAUU